UGGCCCUUAUCUGAGUUCUUUCAGGCCUCCCAGAUAGUAUCAAGGAACUGAAACUUACCAAAUACACAUGGCUUCAGAACCCAACAGAACACUCAUCAAUUUGCGGCUCUACCACUUACUGUAUGUCACCUGGAGGAAAUGAUUUAAACUCUUCAAACUGCAACUUAUUUAUCCACAAAACAGGAAGCAAAGUGUAUCUGCUGGUGCUUUGCAAGGUCUCUAUGAGAUAAAUGUUUUCUUAGUUUGUUUGUUUUUUUUGUUGUUGUUG
Molecule: long non-coding RNA, 268 nt
Filed under: Pan troglodytes (chimpanzee)
Lineage: Eukaryota; Metazoa; Chordata; Mammalia; Primates; Hominidae
Description: long non-coding RNA NONPTRT001604
Source: RNAcentral